GGAGAAGGCGGCAAUGGGGUGCUGAGUGGGUACUUUCAGGUUCGUGGCAAGAUGGCGCUGACUGCAGAAGGCACCGAGUGAAGACACCGCUGAAUAAUUCAAGAGAGCUGACUACUCUGUCAAUGAGACAUAAAGAUGCAGUGAGCAGCAACAAGAGGCACAGCAAGAAAGAAUUAUACUCAUCUUUGACAUUUAAAAUGUUGUUAUAUUUUAAGAGAUGUUAAACUUUAAUAAAUCAUUUUUCCACUUUUCAUGCCUGCGUGUUCUUCAUCACAAUGGGAACCUAAUGGGCAGGAAUGGAUACUCUGUGGGAGUAUCUUGCUUCUGCCCAAAGAUAGGAUCUUCCCUUCGGCCUCUGCACAGAUCCUAUAGUGGAGCAAACAUAGAAACAUAGAAAAUAGAUGCAGGAGGAGUCAAUUUGGCCCUUCAAGCUAGCACCGCCAUUCAUUGUGAUCGUGGGUGAUCGUCCCCUAUCAAUAACCCGUGCCUGCCUUCUCCCCAUAUUCCUUGACUUCACUAGCCGCUAGAGCUCUAUCUAACUCUCUCUUAAAUCCAUCCAGUGACUAGGCUUCCACUGCCCUCUGUGGCAGGGAAUUCCAUAAAUUCACACAUUUCUCUGGGUGAAAAAGUUUCUUCUCACCUUAGUCUUAAAUUACCUGCCCUUUAUUCUAAGACUGGCCCCUGGUUCUGGACUCACCCAACAUUGGGAACAUUUCUCCUGCAUCUAGCUUGCCCAGUCCUUUAAUAAUUUAAUAUGUUUCUAUAAGAUUCCCCCUCAUCCUUCUAAACUCCAGUGAAUACAAGCCUAGUCUUUUCAAUCUUUACUCAUAUACAGUCCCACCAACCCAGGGAUCAAUCUCGUAAACCUACGCUGCAGAAGAACCUCUUCACUCUCUAUACUGAAAUCCUCUUGUUAUGAAGGCCAACAUUCCAUAGCUUUCUUUACUGCCUGCUGUACCUCUAAGCCAACUUUCAGUGGCCGGUGUACAAGGACGCCCAGGUCUCGCUGCACAUCCCCCUUACCUAACCUAAAUCUAUUGAGAUAAUAAUCAGCCCCCUUGUUUUUGCCUUCAAAGUGGAUAACCUCACAUUUAUCUAUAGUAUACUGCACAUGCCAUGCAUCUGCCCACUCACUCAACCUGUCCAGGUCACCCUGCAACCUCCUAACAUCCUCUUCACAGUUCACACUGCCACCCAGCUUUGUGUCAUUUGCAAACUUGCGAGUGUUGCUCCUAAUUCACUCUUCCAAAUCAUUAAUAUAUAUGGUAAACAGUUGCGGCCCCAAUAACAAACCUUACGGCACUCCACUCGACACUGCCUGCCAUUCUGAAAAGGACCCGUUCACUCCUACUCUUUGCUUCCUGUCUACCAAUCAAUUUUCUAUCCAUGUGAUCACCCUACCACCAAUACCAUGUGCUCAAGAUGGACCACUCCUGCAAAAAACAAUCGGCAAUCGGCAAUGUGGGCAAUACGACUUGUCUUUCUUCAGGUUCCCCAUUAAGGAGGAAAGGUAAGAAAACAUUUAUUACUUCUGGUUAGUUCAUUGAGCUCAGAUAGUUGAGUCCUCAUGGCAACAUCCUUGUAGAAAUCUUCUCAAGAGCAUUUUCUUUCUACAUCUCUGUUAUUUAAUGCAGAAUAAGAGCAUAUUGACUGCAGAUAUUUUCUGUAAUUUCAGAUGUCGACAUUGGACAUGAUCUACACCGAACUGCGGAGUAUUUGUGAAAUAACUGCCCUCUUAUGUACAUUGUGUGAAAUUGUGAUUUGCUAACUGCACAAAUAUAAUGCGAAUGGCGAUUUAUUUAUUAUUGUAUCUAUGUUGGACAUUUUGCUGUUUGGUGAAGCAGGGGUGGGGCUAUCAUUGUGUUACAUACGUUAAAUUGUACAUCACUUUCACUGGUUAGCUGAUAUGCUGAACUGCAACCCUGUAUAACUCGCGCACAGAAUAAUGUGAAUUGUGUAAAUCUUAUCCCAACGGGUCCCACUUAGUCUAUUGAUUGUGUAUAAGCUGCAAAUUUUGUCCUUUGUUUGAAAUGUGUAGAAUGUGACAUCACUUUUAUUGAUUAUCUGAUAUUCUAAAUUCUGCAAAUUCUGCAAGCCUGUAUAUGUCGUGCACAAAAUGAUGUAAAUAAAAAUUGUUUUCCUGUUUAAGAA
Molecule: long non-coding RNA, 2151 nt
Organism: Leucoraja erinaceus (little skate)
Lineage: Eukaryota; Metazoa; Chordata; Chondrichthyes; Rajiformes; Rajidae
Exons: 2
Source: RefSeq, a predicted model, not a curated record